RNAcentral lists this ribosomal RNA (489 nucleotides) under uncultured bacterium. Its description in RNAcentral is "partial 16S ribosomal RNA". It matches the Rfam family "Bacterial small subunit ribosomal RNA", at positions 29 to 506 of the family's 1533-position model. The record is from RNAcentral.
AGUGAACGCUGGCGGUAGGCCUAACACAUGCAAGUCGAACGGCAGCACAGGAGAGCUUGCUCUCUAGGUGGCGAGUGGCGGACGGGUGAGGAAUACAUCGGAAUCUGCCCAGUCGUGGGGGAUAACGUAGGGAAACUUACGCUAAUACCGCAUACGACCUUCGGGUGAAAGAGGGGGAUCGCAAGACCUCUCGCGAUUGGAUGAGCCGAUGUCGGAUUAGCUAGUUAGCGGGGUAAUGGCCCACCAAGGCGACGAUCCGUAGCUGGUCUGAGAGGAUGAUCAGCCACAAUGGAAAUGAGAAACGGUCCAGACCCCUACGGGGGGCAGCAGUGGGGAAUUUUGGACAAGGGGCGCAAGCCUGAACCACCCAUACCGGGGGGGGGAAGAAGGCCUUCGGGUUGUAAAGCCCUUUUGUUGGGAAAAAAAUCUUUCAGGCUAAUACCCUGGGGGGAGGACGGUACCCAAAGAAAAAGCACCGGCUAACUUCGU